AGGGGUAUCGCCAAGCGGUAAGGCACCAGAUUUUGAUUCUGGCAUUCGUUGGUUCAAAUCCAGCUACCCCUGCCA
Molecule: transfer RNA, 75 nt
Filed under: Acidaminococcus sp. CAG:917
Lineage: Bacteria; Bacillati; Bacillota; Negativicutes; Acidaminococcales; Acidaminococcaceae
Also listed under: 8 other names
Description: transfer RNA-Gln(TTG)
Rfam family: tRNA
About the family: Transfer RNA (tRNA) molecules are approximately 80 nucleotides in length. Their secondary structure includes four short double-helical elements and three loops (D, anti-codon, and T loops).
Source: RNAcentral